RNAcentral lists this ribosomal RNA (497 nucleotides) under uncultured bacterium. Its description in RNAcentral is "partial 16S ribosomal RNA". It matches the Rfam family "Bacterial small subunit ribosomal RNA", at positions 28 to 507 of the family's 1533-position model. The record is from RNAcentral.
GAUGAACGCUGGCGGCGUGCCUAAUACAUGCAAGUCGAGCGAACAGACGAGGAGCUUGCUCCUCUGACGUUAGCGGCGGACGGGUGAGUAACACGUGGAUAACCUACCUAUAAGACUGGGAUAACUUCGGGAAACCGGAGCUAAUACCGGAUAAUAUAUUGAACCGCAUGGUUCAAUAGUGAAAGACGGUUUUGCUGUCACUUAUAGAUGGAUCCGCGCCGCAUUAGCUAGUUGGUAAGGUAACGGCUUACCAAGGCAACGAUGCGUAGCCGACCUGAGAGGGUGAUCGGCCACACUGGAACUGAGACACGGUCCAGACUCCUACGGGAGGCAGCAGUAGGGAAUAUUCCGCAAUGGGCGAAAGCUUGACGGAGCAACGCCGCGUGAGUGAUGAAGGUCUUCGGAUCGUAAAACUCUGUUAUUAGGGAAGAACAAAUGUGUAAGUAACUAUGCACGUCUUGACGGUACCUAAUCAGAAAGCCACGGCUAACUACGUG